CUUAAAAAAAAUACACAAAUAAUGCGUAGUAAUAAAAUUAAAUAAUGGAUGUACAAACGAUACAUAAAACCACAAUAAAAAAUAGGACCUAAUACAAAUGUGAAUAUAAAAUUAUACUACCAUACCUAUACGCUUAAACUACAACCCAUUUAGUAUGAUACACCCAAUAACUAAAUCCAAGAAAAAUAAAUAAAUAAAUAAAUAAAUAAAUACAUCCAUCCAUCCAUUUUCUACCAAUUGUCCCUAAAUAUUUUAAAUGCAAAUAUAUAUCUAUUUUAUUAAAAGUUAAUCGAAAUGCUGAUAAGUUUCCUUGUGUGCAGAGUGGGCAAUUGCCGACGCUAAAUGUGCCUGUGCAUAAAAAAAACGGCUCCCAAAUGAACGGCUCCACAGCUGGUUAUCUGUUGUCAAUGUUCACAUAAAAGAGCCGUUCUAAAAACUUGAAUCGUUCGCGAACGUCACAUCUCUAAGCACAACACAUAUCGGAUAGCUAUCAUCGCAGUGUGGCAUGCUAGCUUUAGCCUGUUAGCUAACAAACCAGUGGGCGCCGAACAGCAUUUUGGCUUUUAUUUCUAUGUUGUAGUUAACUAGUUCAACUAGUUAAUUUCCUCUACAUUUACCAGCUACCUACCGCAGAGUGUCGCCCUUCCCCCUGCAACUUAAUCACUUACGACUCCUGCUCGCCAAACUUAUCACAUCCUCGUCCAGUUUUGGCGGAGAGAUGACGUCACCGUCGAUAUCAUCCAAACGUCGUCGAAAAAAAUCCGUUUUUGGAAUUUUCCAGGAGUGUCUUCUUGGUCUGGUGGAAUGCCGACAGGACGCAGCACGUCUCUGCUUGUCUCUGAUCACCGCCCUAAAGACGACUCGGGAGAGGAGAGGCAACUAAUGAAAUAGGCCGAGUGGCUCCAGCCUGCUGCUCUCAGGAGACCCAUCUGCUUAUCAGCAAACAGAAAGGGAGAAGCCAUUUCCUCCCAUCCCGCAGUGGAGGGCACCUGGAGACACCCGGGGGCUCAGGUAGGAGCGACUCCAUGUUGCCAUGGAGAAGAAAACACUCAUUUCCUGCCUAAUAACAAACGAGAUAAAGAGGCAUUGUUUUGGCCAAUCUCCCCGUCCUCGAGGGGGUGCACACUCUGCCGUCUCGGCGCUCUCUGGCAGCAAAGCAAAGUGUUGCUGCGUGUGCGCAAAAAACACCAUCUUAUUACCUCGGCUGCCCCUGGAUGACGACGCUUUGGCAGAGUAAACACAGCGUCCAGUGGGUAGAGUCGAUAUGUUUAGGAGGCAACAUAUUAACUGGAAUUUUAUUUGAAACACACCAUCACUUUAUAAGACCGCUCUGAAAGGACUGUAAAAACAUACACUAUAUUGCCCACCAGUGUUGGGGUGUAACGCCUUACUUUCAGCGGUAAAUAGUAAUCUAACGCGUUAUUUUAUACAAACCCCGUUUCCAUAUGAGUUGG
Molecule: long non-coding RNA, 1454 nt
Organism: Entelurus aequoreus (snake pipefish)
Lineage: Eukaryota; Metazoa; Chordata; Actinopteri; Syngnathiformes; Syngnathidae
Exons: 3
Source: RefSeq, a predicted model, not a curated record